This 1533-nucleotide ribosomal RNA is filed under the name Triticum aestivum (bread wheat). RNAcentral describes it as "partial small subunit ribosomal RNA". Lineage: Eukaryota; Viridiplantae; Streptophyta; Magnoliopsida; Poales; Poaceae. The record is from RNAcentral.
AUGGACGUCCUGCUCUCUGCAGUCGUUGGCGACCUCUUCGGCAGGUCGGCAUCCUUCGUGAUCAACAGAUACUUCCAGCGGCAGCCCGGCAUCGACAUGAUUCUCCAGAGGCUGGAGAGAGUAGUACUGAGAAUCGACACCGUUGUCGAGGAGGCAGAGGGGCGGCACAUCACCAACCAAGGGAUGCUCCGUCAGCUCAAGAUGUUGAGGCAAGGGAUGUACAGAGGCCACUAUGUUCUUGAUGCCUUGACAUUCCAAGCCCCUGACGAUGAGGAGGAGGAGGAGGAGGAGGUCAGCCACUCAUCGUCUGCGCUCACCAAUGUAACUCCAGCCAAACGGCUUCGUUUCUCUCAGGCUGGCAGCAGUACUAGUAACAGAGAAGAACUGUUGUUUGGUGUAAACAGCAACGUACGAGAAGAGCUGCAGCGGAUGGUUGAUACCCUUGAAGACACCAUGGCUGGUAUGAAAGAAUUUCUUUUCUUCUUGCAGUCGUGUCCUCCGAUACUCCGCCAACCUUAUGGCGCAUAUUUGCUCUUGGACAAUUGCAUGUUUGGUCGCCAAUCAGAACGGCAACGGGUCCUGGAUUUCUUGCUGCGUCCCAGUGCUGCUCCAGAUUUGGCUGUACUUCCAAUUGUUGGUCCAAUAAGAGUAGGGAAGACCACUCUUGUUGAGCAUAUUUGCAGGGAUGAGAGUGUGCGUGAUCGUUUCUCAAUGAUCCUCUUCUUUCCAGAAGGCAGCCUCAAGGAUGAAGGAGUGAUCGACCUGAAAGGGGAAAAUAUUAAUGGUCUAGUCAAACAUCGGGAUUGUGCUUCUUCAAACAUGUUGCUGAUUAUUGUUGAAAUAGGUGAGGACAUUAACAAGGAAGCAUGGAGAAGGCUGAAAUCUUCCACGACACGCAUGACACCGCGUGGUGGGAGUAAAAUUAUAAUCACAAGUCGUUCUGGAAGAAUUGUUAAUCUAGGAACAACCGAAACACUUCGGCUGGACUAUCUCCCUCCAGAAGCUUAUUGUCACUUUUUCAAAUCAAUUGCAUUCGGAAGCACAAACCCUAAUGAGCACCCAAAACUGGCAACAAUGGCUAUGGAGAUCGCUUUGGAACAGAGACAAUGUUUCACAGGCGCGCAUCUUGUUGCUGGGAUACUGAGAGAUAACUUCAAUGCUCGAUUUUGGCGCACAAUUCUUGAAUGCGUGAGAGCAUAUAAACAGACAAAUCUCCUUAUGUUUGAAAAGCACCCAAACCUUCGUUUGCGGGAAGAUGAACCAGUGUACUAUUGGAGAUUGGCGAAGAGCCGCAGAUAUUUCUUGAUUUGCAACUAUCAUCCGUCAGAUUCCUCCAGUGAGGAAGUCCCCAAGAUCAGUGUGCGGGACAUCCUCUUAGGAUGUACACUACCUCAUGGGGAAUUUGAGGCUCUUGCAUGGAGGUCUCGCAUACCACCCUACUACAACUACACAAUAAGCUGUAAGAUGCAAGCGCCAGAACCUAAGGUUGGAAGAAAGAAGCGCAUGCCUCAGGACGAAGGACAUUUGAGUUGA